Non-coding RNA from Malus domestica (apple), 2798 nucleotides. NCBI's taxonomy places the organism in Eukaryota, Viridiplantae, Streptophyta, Magnoliopsida, Rosales, Rosaceae. The record is from RefSeq and is a predicted model, not a curated record.
CAACCUCAGAGUUUCAUCAGUUUCUGAACCCAAAAUCUACUUGGAUCUCUCUCUCACUCUCUCUCUCAAUCUCUCUCUCUCUCUCUCUCUCUCUCUCUCUCUCUCUCUCUCUCUCUCUCUCUCUUCUGUGUCUGUCUGCGUGCAUGCAAACCCCAAAAGAGCUCCUCCAAUGAAGCAGACCAGAGCACGCCAACCUACCACCCAUGCCGUCAAUCCCCACUCCUUUCUAUGACGAAACGACCCUUCUCCUCCCUUACCACCGCCACCUUCAUCAUCAUCACCGCCACCAUCCUCUUCGCCGUUAUACCACCACAAGCUCAUGCCUUCGGUUCCGGCUCCACCCUUGCCGUUAUCUCCGCCUCCGGCACCGUCUGCGGUGUCGUGUCAGACCAACCGCGGCAGCGCAUCGUCUGCUACCGCCGCGGACAAACCGUCGCAGUCGAGCCCAACAUCUCCUUCUCCGCCAUCUCCGGCGGACGGACCUCUCUAUGCGGCCUCCGCUCUGGCGGAUACAGCAUCCUCUGCUGGGACGACAUCGCCUCCCAAAACUCCACCUUCCCAUCCAAACGUCUUUACUUCAACAAAACCGUUACGUUAGAAAAUCUCUCAGUCGGCGACGACCAUAUCUGCGCCAGAACCGUCGUCACAGGCACCAUAAAAUGCUGGCGGGUCGACGACGUGUCCGAAUUACCAUCUGGGUCGGACCAAUUCUCCUCGAUUUCAUCGGGGUCGGGUUUCUCUUGCGGAAUUUCCAAAGCCACCCUCCGGGUUCGAUGCUGGGGCAGAGCAACUUCAAUGGCGGAAGAAAAUACAAAACCGGGUUCGGAAACAUGACAAUGGCGACCAUCACAGCCGGCGGCUCGCACGUGUGCGGGAUCAACACCACAGGACUUAUAGUCUGCCGGGGAAGCAAUGGCGCCGGCCAAUGGAACGUCCCUCCUGGCUCGCCUUUCGAGUUCUCUGCUCUGUCCCUCGGAGUAAACCACAGCUGCGCAAUCAGAACUUCAAAUAAAACGGUCAUUUGUUGGGGAGGAGGAGGUCAAUUUGCAUUUAACCAAACAAACGGGGUGUCUUUUGAAGUAAUUGCUUCUGGGUCGGAUUUCGUUUGUGGAUUAACCACCAGGAAUUUUUCGAUUGUUUGUUGGGGUACGGGCUGGCCCAAUCUCUCCGGUUUGAAAUCAGGGGAGGAGCUCGAAUUGCCCGAAAUUCUUCCCGGUUCUUGUGUCAAUUCCUCCUGCGGUGAAUGUGGAAUUUACCCUCAGUCCCAAAGGCUCUGUUUUGGUGCAGACAACAUUUGCAAGCCCUGUUUGCCUCCAAUUUCAUUGCCACCACCAGCAUUUCCACCGCCGCCGCCGUCGCCGCAGCCGCCACCGCCCCUGCCGUCAAGGCUGCCGCCCGCGGCAUUGACGACGGGUUUAUUGAUGUUUGCCAUUGUCGGUUCUGUCGGAGCUUUUGCAGGUAUGUACUGUUAUUUAUUGUUUGUGGACCGGCGGUUGUUUUGGGGACAAAAAGAUUCACAAUUCAGUUCAGCCGACAAUUACUAGAGAUGCUAGCUCAAACAAUGGCAAUGGGAUAACGUCAAACAAUAGUCCCCCGUCGAGAUCCUCCACCAUCCGCCGCCAGGGCUCGAGGAUCAUGAGGCGGCAGAGGAGCGGAACAUCCUCGAAGCAUGCAGACAGGGCGGAGGAGUUUUCCCUGUCCGAGCUCGCGGCCGCCACCAAUGACUUCUCAAUGGAGAACAAGAUUGGCGCCGGAAGCUUCGGAGUUGUAUAUAGAGGCAAACUGCCUGACGGCCGGGAAGUUGCGAUCAAGAGAGGCGAAACCGCCCCGAAGAUGAAGAAGUAUCAGGAGAAGGAGAGCGCAUUCGAUUCGGAACUUGCGUUCUUGUCGAGAGUUCAUCACAAACAUCUCGUGAGGCUUGUCGGAUAUUGCCAAGAGAGGGACGAGAGGCUUUUGGUGUACGAGCACGUGAAAAACGGUGCGCUUUAUGAUCACUUGCAUGACAAGAACAAUGUGGAGAGAAGCAGUAGUUUGUUAAAUUCGUGGAAAAUGAGGAUCAAGGUUGCAUUGGAUGCCUCCAGAGGCAUUGAGUAUCUGCACAAUUACGCCGUGCCGCCUAUCAUUCAUCGAGAUAUAAAGUCAUCGAACAUCUUGCUCGACGCGAAUUGGACCGCGAGGGUGUCUGAUUUUGGGUUGUCGUUGAUGGGGCCGGAGUCAGAGGUGGAUUUUAGGCCAACGAAGGCGGCAGGGACGGUUGGCUACAUUGAUCCGGAGUACUACGGACUCAACUUGUUGACCGCGAAGAGCGAUGUCUAUGGACUCGGCGUGGUGCUACUGGAGCUUCUGACGGGGAAGAGGGCAAUAUUUAAGGAUGGUGAGGAUGGGGGGACGCCCAUAAGCGUGGUGGAUUUCGCAGUGCCGGCGAUUAUGAAAGGGGAGUUGGUGAGGGUUUUGGACAAGAGGGUUGGGCCUCCGGAAGUGAAUGAAUCGGAGGCGGUUGAGCUGGUGGCGUAUACAGCAAUGCAUUGUGUGAGUUUGGAAGGGAAAGAUAGGCCGACGAUGGCGGACAUUGUGGCGAACUUGGAGAGGGCGUAUGCCCUGUGCGAUGAAAGCCCUGGCAGCAUCUCAAGUGGUGCAAUCUCCAUUGUCUCAGCAGAGUAAGAGUGAGUAAAAUGUGCUUCCUUCCCGUUAAAGAAAGAAUAGAAAAGAAAAGUUGAAUUAUUUCUUCAAUUUUUGUCAAAUUUUUGGGGAUAAAUUGGAUGGAUUUAAAUAAAAGAUUUACCAUUGGGGGUGUAAAA